This 5094-nucleotide long non-coding RNA is filed under the name Aquilegia coerulea. RNAcentral describes it as "long non-coding RNA (ACOE_LNC001574)". The record is from RNAcentral. Lineage: Eukaryota; Viridiplantae; Streptophyta; Magnoliopsida; Ranunculales; Ranunculaceae.
CCUUUUUAAAAUCCUUACCAUGUGUAUUAGUGUAGUGUGGAAAUGUGUUAAUGCUACGCCAUACUUAGUGCCUGUAUGCAUAUCAAUUCCAAGAACUGUAUCAUUUUAAGUGUAGUCUCAUUGCUUGUACCAAACUUGAACUUACCUAGUGGAGACUGAUGCACCAGUCCGCUUUGGAUGGAUUUGUACCGGACUUGAACUUAUCCAUCACAGUGGUGACUGAUAUAGGAUGGAUUCUGUAACUCUUUUGGUCUUUGAUAUUGGAGACAUUUUGAAAGAACGACACCAAGCCGCAUGACAGAAAGUCAGAGACAAACUUUCUUUGAUGAAGUCAGAAAGUCCAACAUCGAUGCCUUUAAGCAGAUACUUUCCUGUCCUUCAGUGAUGACCUUUGUUCGUUUAACUUGCCAAGUUGUUGCUUCAAAGUUAUACAGAGAAAGAAAAUGAAGAUAUGUUAAUAUAAAUAUGUUCAGGUUAAGAUAUCCCAAAUAAAUAUAUUGUCGCAGACAUGUACUAUCAAAAAAUAGGGGAAAAAAAUCUCCAAUUAGUAUGCAUUUACUGACGAUCCUGAGAUGCCCUUCAUUGUGCAAUAAUAUCAGACCACCUACUAUCAGACCACCUACAUCAGUUGAGGCCAGUGAUGAAGUAUCUCUGUAAUGCUUGAAGUUAGUGUUGAUUGUGAACGCUCCUUUUCUCUUCUUAUACGUUGAGCUUCUUGACGCGGAGAUAAUUCUGCCCUAUUAUUUUGAAGAAUUAGAAUAUUGCAUAUAAUGAAAAAGUAUGUUGCACAGGAUUAAUAGUAACGAUGAUAUUAAAUCUUGAUGAUUUUGAGAUUAAUGAAAUUAAUAAUAUCAAUAGAAUAAAUUAUAAUUGAAUAGGUAAACUUUACCUUUGUUGGACUAUUGAAUUUAGUAAUGAUGGUGCCCGUUCCUUUUCUUUGCUUAUACGCUGGUCUUCCUUUGAAUUACUUUUCUCUUCACCACUAUUUGAUUGCUUCAUUUCCAAUGAUUUCUUUGAUCUUCAAACAGACAACAACAUGAUAUUAGAACUUAGCUUUGUAGAUAAAAACUCAGACAGGGUCAAAACCCACAUAUAUAUAAUAAUUAGUAUUCGUUUGUAAAGACAAAUUCUCAAGCAUGGAAAAAGGUUCUUUGGACCUAAUGUCUUUAUGAUAUAAAAAAACAAAAUAAUAAAUUUUUACUCGAUAGGGAAAGAUUACUUUGGUUCAAUAUUUGAAUUUAGAACAGAUUGUCACCGUUCCCUUUUUCUUCUAAGACGUUGACCUUCUUGACGGGGAGAUAAUUCCACAAUGUCAUUUGGCAAAAUUUGUUGACUGCAUACAAAGGGAAAACAUGUUACAUAGAAAAUGAGUUAACAAUGAAAUUAAAUAUCUAUGAUCUUAAGAUUCAUCAAUUUAUUAACUUAUCUAGAUCAAAUUUUAAGUGAAAUAGUAAAAUUUACAUUGGUUCAACUAUUGAAUUUAAUACUGAUUGUGCUCGCUCCAUUUCUUUUCUGAUACAUUGGUCUUCGUUCGAAUUACUUUUCUUUUCAACUCCAUCUGACUGUUUCAUUUCCAACGACUUCUUUGUUCUGGAAGAAGCCAACGACACCAUAUUAAAUCUUAGCAUUGAGAUAAAAAUUCACAUAGAGUUACAUCCACAUAUAAAUAAUAUGAACUAUUGGUUAGUAAAAACAACCAAAAUGUCAUUAUAAUACAAUUUAAAUCAUCUUAUUGUUCUAAUUCAAACCAGAUUCUCUAGCUAUUGACCUUGCCCACUGUUAGGUUUCUUUCUUUUGACAAAUUAAAGGUAAACUAUGCAAAUUAUAUACUUUAAAUUACCAAACACAAUUACUACUACAAAAAUAAAGAAUAAAUAACAAACGCAGAUAUUCGAAAGACAUAACUAAUUGAAUUUUUUAAGGAAAAAAUAGAAAACACUAUGGCAGUUAGACUCCAUUGUAACUUAGUUAGUUCCAAAGAAGUUCCAUCAACUUUUGUCUGGAUAGAACAAUUAUAUGUAACAAUCAUGACGAUAAAGGCACGUCAUAAUGUCAUAUGUAUACAACGACACCUCUUUCAUAUGUAUAAAAUUCAGCAACUUUUCUAAAUAUACAACUUUGUACGUAGACUAAUUUAUUCACGUUUUGAUUAUCUGAUCCCAUAAAAGUGGAUCUCAUGAAAGCAAGAGAUGCAAGUAAUUUACAUAUAUGUAAUGUGCCAAAGGAUAUUUUUCCUGGUUACAUCAUUAAAUCAUUCAUCUAAUCGUUCUCUCUCAAGAUGCAACUUAUGUUGUGUGUGGGGAGAGGUUCUCAACAGGCUGAAUCCAUCAGGUCACUCUCUUUUAGGGAUUGCCAUAUUAAAUAGUGUAUGUUAUAAACUUAAUUUAAGGUCUGUCAAGAGUACAUAAGCUAAAGUCUGAAAAUACUGAUUGAUAUAAACCUACCUGUUGAAGCCGAAGCGCAACAGAGCGCAACAGAUAGUGGAGAAUGUUGAUGCAAACUGACCUGCAGAAACAACAACAAUACAUAAUCAUAAUUAAGUUAGGGCGAGUAUUACAGAGCUAAUAAAAUUAAAAUUGAUUUGUGUAGCCAUUAAGAGAGGGAGCAAACUAAUUACACCUAUCCUAGAUAGGUCAUUAUUUAUAUAAAAAGCCACCUUUUAUUUUUCUGAUAUCACCUACUUUCAUGGGUCGCCAGUUCUUGUCAUUGUUAUCUUAACUAUAUCAAUAAAAAUGCCUGCUUAUUACGCUUGUAAUGAAUAUUCUAAAAUUAUGGAAGGUUUUGGCAUGAGAGUUUGUAUGUAAAGGUUCUAUUUGCAAACAAUAGUGAUGAAUCCAUAUUAGUAUGUAGCUAUAUAAUGUUGUUUCAAACUGUGUUUGUAUGUAAUGAGCAAUGACUGCAUAUUUCAUUUACAGGUACCAAUGGCAGAGGUGAUAAAAAAGUUCUUUGUUGCAUCAGUGUUUAUGUGGAUUCUCCCAAUUGCAAUUUUAUAUGGUUUUAACAACAAUAUAUUUCCUGGUAAGCUUCCUUAUUGAAACUUACAUAGACUCUCCAAAUUUAUGCCUUCUCUGUUUUUGCUUAUUUGAUGUUAAAAAUGAUGAUUUGUAUACUUUAAUGAUUCUGUUUUUUACGGUUAAAUCGGAUUUACAUGUAUUCUUAGGUUUAGAAACUCAAUUAAUAACUCAUAAGGUAAAUGUAAGAAUUUGGAUGAUGCACUACUAAAUUUUUGGGUGUUAAUCAUUUGCGUCAUUAUCUUUUAAAAUUAUGUAUUGGAUCUUACUGGGUGUUGCAUCUUACUUGUAUACCAUACUAAGUUUUGUUGCGACUACGUAUGACCCAUGAUUCCUUCUUGGUCCAAAAUGGUCUUGGUUGGAUUGAAUCAAUCUGUAGGUGUUGGCUAUUUAUGCUUGUACAUAUCAUCUGAACUACUGGGCUCCUUUCAAAACCCUCUGACGUGGUUGAUGUGGUGGUAACAGUACUAAUGCCAGUCUCCUAACUAAACACAUUGGUCUAAACUCUCAAGAGAUUUCGUAAGAAAGUGUGUAUUCUUUUUCUUUAUUUGUUUAUUGAACUAAUUUUCUCGAUAAUUUUUGUUUCCUAUUCUAAGUGUGUUUAGUUAUAUCUAAUGUGUCGCUAAUAUUAAUUUUUCUCGAUAUGAAUUCAAGCAAAAAAAAAAGUUAAAAAUUAAGAAUAAACAAUCAACCAACUACAUCAGUUCACAAAUGCAAAAAGAAUCCUUAAUACUACACCUUUCUAUUAGUAGUCUUUCUCAAAAUUAUCACAACUGUUUCUUGACUACAUCAGCUCAAAAAUAUUGUGGACACAACUACUAAUUCACAUUGGCUUUUUAAGAGCUAAUCAAAUGCAUGAAGAAGAUGUCUCCAUUUCCUGUUGAUUGUCAUGCAUCAUAGAUAUACAAUGAUGGCUUCUAAGUGGUAUAAAAUAAUAUUGUAAGGGCAAUCUGGCUUCAAUUGCGUACUCUACUCAUGCAACAACAAAUUGGUGCUUCAAGUAUAAAAUAAUAAGAACACUAUUUAAAGUGGCAAACCAAGCAUACUACUCGAAGAACUCUAAAAAAAUCUUCACUUAUGUGUAGGUUGAAUUAUUCGUUACUUAAGAAUUGUGAGGAGAAGACAAAGCAGAGUGCAGCAGAUUAAUUGUGGGACAGGACAGCAAUUAAUACUAAAAAUGCUUGUGUACAGCAAUCAGAGGAGAAGUUGCUGACGGAACGGAAUGAUACUUAGUCACAGCCUACGUUUGUUGUUUCUAUACAGUAAAGGUUGCAAGUUUGACAGAGGCUCCUUAUCGCUUCACGUAAUCAAUAAGAGAGCCUCGGUGCGUAGCCUUUAUUCUACUAUGCUACGCAAAGGUUACGAAGUCACUUAGCUCAACGUUAGGACAGUCAAGGAGGAACGCAAUACCUACAUAGAAGAACCGCUGUUCGCUGAUUUUCUAACGUCUAACCUUUCGCUUCCCCUACUGAAAAUUAUCUAAUUUUGAAUAAGUUUGUAUAAGAUUGAUUUCCAAUCUCGAUAUUCAUCCGACGGUUUAAAAUAUCUAACCAAACUAAACUGUGUCAUACUUGUAUCUUAAUAGUAACAUGUGUACUUAAUAAAACUAUUAAGUACAGACUUUGAUUUUUCAUAUUAGGUAUAUUCAGUAUGUUGGAUAACAAUGUUAAUCCUGUAUUUUUCAGGUUUGAGGAUGUAAAUGGUUCUAAGUUUAUUAUGUACUUAAUAAAACUAAUAAGUACAAUCAGGAAUCAAGAUGUAAAAUUUAAUUGUUUACCUAAAUAAUAGUAAAGUGUUACUCAAACCAAAAAUAAUAUUAAUACUACUAUUAACAAUCAAUCAUAAUAACUAAUCAACGUAUGUGUAAGGGUUUAAAUUUCAUACCUGAAAACUAUACUUGAUGAUGAUUGAUGUCGAUGAGAUUGAAUGCUUGGGUAGUGAAGAUAGAUUGAUGAUGUCGAUUAGAUAAAACCUAAAUUACUCUAUCUAAAUUUUAAGUAACCCAAAGUUCCAAUUCGAAAUCUUCAAGCUUCUUCACCUCAACUCCGGUUUUCGCUUGGAAUGAAACUACAGAAUUCCUGUC